GACGAACGCUGGCGGCGUGCUUAACACAUGCAAGUCGAACGGAAAGGCCCUGCUUUUGUGGGGUGCUCGAGUGGCGAACGGGUGAGUAACACGUGAGUAACCUGCCCUUGACUUUGGGAUAACUUCAGGAAACUGGGGCUAAUACCGGAUAGGAGCUCCUGUUGCAUGGUGGGGGUUGGAAAGUUUCGGCGGUUGGGGAUGGACUCGCGGCUUAUCAGCUUGUUGGUGGGGUAGUGGCUUACCAAGGCUUUGACGGGUAGCCGGCCUGAGAGGGUGACCGGCGACAUUGGGACUGAGAUACGGCGCAGACUCCUACGGGAGGCAGCAGUGGGGAGUAUGGCACAAUGGGCGGAAGCCGGAUGCAGCGACGCCGCGUGCGGGAUGACGGCCUUCGGGUUGUAAACCGCUUUCGCCUGCGACGAAGCGUGAGUGACGGUAAUGGGUGAAGAAGCACCGGCUAACUACGUG
This 468-nucleotide ribosomal RNA is filed under the name uncultured bacterium. Its description in RNAcentral is "partial 16S ribosomal RNA". It matches the Rfam family "Bacterial small subunit ribosomal RNA", at positions 28 to 507 of the family's 1533-position model. The record is from RNAcentral.